RNAcentral lists this ribosomal RNA (847 nucleotides) under uncultured bacterium. RNAcentral describes it as "bacterial SSU rRNA". It matches the Rfam family "Bacterial small subunit ribosomal RNA", at positions 88 to 952 of the family's 1533-position model. The record is from RNAcentral.
UGACUGAGUGGCGGACGGGUGAGUAACGCGUGGGUAACCUGCCUUAUACAGGGGGAUAACAGUUGGAAACGGCUGCUAAUACCGCAUAAGCGCACAGGGUCGCAUGACCUGGUGUGAAAAACUCCGGUGGUAUGAGAUGGACCCGCGUUGGAUUAGCUGGUUGGUGAGGUAACGGCCCACCAAGGCGACGAUCCAUAGCCGACCUGAGAGGGUGACCGGCCACAUUGGGACUGAGACACGGCCCAAACUCCUACGGGAGGCAGCAGUGGGGAAUAUUGCACAAUGGGCGAAAGCCUGAUGCAGCGACGCCGCGUGAGCGAAGAAGUAUUUCGGUAUGUAAAGCUCUAUCAGCAGGGAAGAUAAUGACGGUACCUGACUAAGAAGCACCGGCUAAAUACGUGCCAGCAGCCGCGGUAAUACGUAUGGUGCAAGCGUUAUCCGGAUUUACUGGGUGUAAAGGGAGCGCAGGCGGUACGGCAAGUCUGAUGUGAAAGCCCGGGGCUCAACCCCGGUACUGCAUUGGAAACUGUCGAACUAGAGUGUCGGAGGGGUAAGUGGAAUUCCUAGUGUAGCGGUGAAAUGCGUAGAUAUUAGGAGGAACACCAGUGGCGAAGGCGGCUUACUGGACGAUAACUGACGCUGAGGCUCGAAAGCGUGGGGAGCAAACAGGAUUAGAUACCCUGGUAGUCCACGCUGUAAACGAUGAAUGCUAGGUGUCGGGGAGCAAAGCUCUUCGGUGCCGUCGCAAACGCAGUAAGUAUUCCGCCUGGGGAGUACGUUCGCAAGAAUGAAACUCAAAGGAAUUGACGGGGAACCCGCACAAGCGGUGGAGCAUGUGGUUUAAUUC